RNAcentral lists this ribosomal RNA (253 nucleotides) under uncultured bacterium. Its description in RNAcentral is "partial 16S ribosomal RNA". It matches the Rfam family "Bacterial small subunit ribosomal RNA", at positions 524 to 776 of the family's 1533-position model. The record is from RNAcentral.
UACGUAGGGUGCAAGCGUUGUCCGGAAUUAUUGGGCGUAAAGAGCUCGUAGGCGGUCUGUCGCGUCGGCUGUGAAAACUCGGGGCUCAACUCCGAGCUUGCAGUCGAUACGGGCAGGCUAGAGUUCGGCAGGGGAGACUGGAAUUCCUGGUGUAGCGGUGAAAUGCGCAGAUAUCAGGAGGAACACCGGUGGCGAAGGCGGGUCUCUGGGCCGAUACUGACGCUGAGGAGCGAAAGCCAGGGGAGCGAACGGG